AACAAUUAUGAAAAUAUGUCAACUAUAAAUUUGAGGGUAAUUGUAGCAAAUUAAUUAUUAGAGAAAUGGCAUAAUUGCCUCCCCAGUUUUUCAAUUAAAUCAUGUUAAAAAGCUUUCAUAUCACACACGUAAUUACUUUCAAUUUUUCAACAUGUGUGGGCCCACUGUGUGUUGGGAAGUGGGUUCCUUUAAUGUGGUUAGUAACGUUUGUGAUGGAAAAAUUACGUUCUUUUUUGCUUUCCCAUUCUUUUCUACUUUCUUCAAUUUCUUUGCUUUUCCAUUUUCUUCCUCAAGAUAGUAAAACAAAUGAGAAAGAGAGGACUACACUGCAAUUUCUUCAUCCUGCGAUUGUAUUGGCUUUCUUCAUCUUCUUGUGAUUUCUAAUCGACAGGUAUAAUGGGUUGCUUUCUAGCUUUUUUCAAUUCGUCUCGUUGUGAUUUCCAAUGGGUUUUUUGCAUUUAAUUGUGAUUUCUUCAUCUUUUUAUGUGUACAGUUCUAAUUUUGAGUUCAUGAAAUUGAUAGGUUUUGUGUUAAUAUUAACAGAGAGAGGUAUAUAAUUUUAUGAUUUAAUUUAUGCUUUCUGUGAUUAAAAUUGUCUAUCUUGGUUAUUGUUUUUUUUUUCGAAUUUCAAAUGGAUUAUUGAGUUUAUAGUGCUAGAUUUUUUAGUUCUUUCUUGAUAAAUUGAUUUUAUCUUUUGCUUCUCUUUUAUGGUGAAUUUUCGGGAGGCUUAUAUGUUAAACAAAGAGGUAUAUAAUUUUCAAAUUUAAUUUAUGCAUUCUAUGAUUAAAAUUGUAUUAUUGUUAUUUUUUUUUUGAAUUUCAAAUGGAUUAUUGAGUUCACAGUGCUAGAUUUUUUAGUUCUUUCUUGAUAAAUUGAUUUUAUUUUUUACUUCUCUUUUAUGGUGGAUUUCACGAGGCUUAUAUGUUAGCAAGUUUUCUAAAGAGGAAUUUUUUAUUGGUUUGUGAUUUACAUUGAAUCUAUGUUUGAGGUUCAUGUAUUGAUUCUAAGCAGAUUUGAAUUUAGUACUAAAUUGCUGGAAUUUUUGUAGGUGCUUCUUAUCGUGUUUAUGAGUUAAUAUUUUGUUUUUCUUCGAUUUUCUAUCUUUAGUUCAAGUUUGGGCAAUCAGAUUUCCAUUCACUACAAAUCAAUUGCUAAUUUUCGCAAAAUAUUGUCAGACUAAACUGUGGUUUGGAACAUAUUAGAUUUUACCUAACCUAACUUUAUCUAUAGAAUGUGGAGAUAAAUAAGUUUCUUCUUAAUAUUAUUUUGGUUUAAAUCUCGAAAGCAUUAACGUUUUGGUAAGUCCAUGAAUUAAAAGAUCGACCAAUUAAUUGAUUUGCUAGGUUACCGGUGCUCCUUAGAAAUUUUUUUAUAUCUCUAUAUAUAAAUUUAUGGUGAAUUUUGACAUCAGUCAUCGAACUUUAUUUUGUUUCCUUUCUUAGAGAAGAAUUUAUUUAAUUGACCUAAAAUUUAUUGGGUAAGAUUUGAUUUGUUAUUAUAAAGAGAAGGCAAACUCAAAUUGCAUUUUGAAACUGUUUGUGGUUAUUACAUUUGUAUUACUAAUGUUGAAGGCUAUUAUACGUUUAGUCUCAAAAUUGUCGAGUUCGUAAUUUUCCUUUUAGGUUUCUUUGAAAAAAAAAACACUUAGUGAGAAUGUUAAAAGAAGAGCUUCAUUUAGAUGAUUUGAACUCAUACAGCAUGAUUGAGCUUCUGAUAAUAAAAUACCUCAUAUUUUUCAUGCUCACUUCUUUUAUCGUAAAAAUUGGCUUAAACUAAUGGCUAAAGUACACUAUUAAAAAUAAAAACUAAAAGAUAUAAAAUUUUAUGGUUAUUAAUAUUCGUGACAUCAAGUUCACUACAUUGUUAUGCAUGUUCUCUUGAUGUUCUUUUAUAAUAUUUUGCCACAUCAUUUGUCAAUUGGCAAGGCUUGUUCGAUAGUAAAGCAAAUUUUGAUGUUUUCAGAACUUCUCAUAUCUUUACAGCGGAAAGAACUUAAAAAUAUUGUUCCUUAGAAUUCUCCAAUUAAAUGGCAUACCUAUACUCUACAAAUUGCCCAAAUAUAUGAUGGGAUUUUGCUCGAAAUAAUCCUUCAAGCCAAAUUUUGGCUACGAGUAACUUGCUUCUUGUCUCCUCUACUAUUAAUAUAUUUCUAAGAUUUUCAAACUUUGUUCCUUUUCAGUAACUAGCUUCAUGUUUCCUCUAUUUUCUAUGCUUACAUAUUUUUAUUAGUUCAUUUAUUCAUCUGAACUAUGCAUGUGAACACUAUAACUAAAUUGGUUGCAAAUAAAAUUAAAUGCAAUUGCAAAUGUAGCGAUGAUGAAAUAAAUUGUAACAUAAUUUACUCCUCUAUUCUCUUCCUAUAUUUUUAAUCAUAUUUCAUAUUUUAUGAAUUCUCUCUUCAGCUAUCUAAAGUUUCUUUGGAAAAAAUUAUGUUUUCUUCUUCUAUUCAUUUUCUCAGGUAGCAGCUUGGAUUACAUUAUAUCUAAAAUCCAGUUUCUUCUCUUCUUGUUGGCAUGUAAUGUGCAAUGUUAUUUUUUAUUUCACUCUUACCUUUGGUCAAAAAUUAAGAAUCUUUCAAAUAUUUAUAAUUUGACUAAUUGUUUCCCAACAAAUUUUCUUCUAUGGAAUUUUGUUGUCUAUGUUGCUGUAUAUUUUACAAAAAAUGUACUCCAUAUUAUGUUGGUUCUAAAGAUUUAACCUAUUAUCGACAUUUAAUCAUAUUUUUCGUUGUCUUGGGUAUAGAUUCUUCUACUCUAAUAUUUAUAUUUAAACUAUGUAUGACAUAAUAUAUAUGGUAAUAGUUUUUCUUUUUUUCAUAAAGUUGCUAUUGCUUACUUUCAACUCCAACUAUUUGAUAAUUUUCUUCAUUUAUUGAUUGACAUAAUGGAACCAUGUGGUCAUUGAGAGUCCCAUUUGUAUAACGCUCAAACUCUUCUAAAAGUAUCAGUCACAUGAUGCAUUAAUUCGUCAACAACGAAAUCAAAGAUGAAGAGAUCGACGAUAUCAAGCUGAAACUUGAUUCAUUAAUUAUCAUAAAAAAGUAAUUCAGCCUAUGUUAUUUACAAAUAAUGAUUCUCAUGUUGUCCAUGUACAUGAACCUACAACAUACCAUCAUUCUAAGCCUUCUACUUUCAACAAUGAAGUAUUGAACAUUUGCAAUACUGAAUUACAAGAGAGUUCUAACCAAUUAAAUGUACCAUGUAUUGCAUAUGUAUUACCAACAUGCACAUAAUGUAAAGAUUAUGGUGCAAAAAGUUCUACAGAGAAAGUAAAGGUUUCUGUUGUUCUGAUGGAAAAGUUUAACUCUCUAUGUCUGAUCCGCUAAUUGAACUAUACAAUUUAUUUACUUUUAAAGAACCUACAUGUAUGGAAUUCAAAAAAAAAAAAAAUUGCCAGGGCAUUUUACAUUCACUUCAUUUGGGGUAAAGUAUGACAAAGAACUGUUUAAAUCAUACAGAGGUAUCUACACAUUUAGGAUUCAAGGUCAAGUAUAUCAUUACGUAAAUCCACUUAUGCCAGAAAAUAAUACGCCUUCUUAUAUGCAAUUAUAUUUUUAUGAUACAGAUAACAAAGUUGGGAAUCGUAUGAAAAUUUCAAAGAAUUUUGUUCAAUCUACUUUGAUUAGUUUAAUUGAAAUCCUCAAAAUAAAUCCGUAUAGUAUAUUCUUUAGGUCUUUAAGUAAUAUGACAAAUUUGCACGAUCAUCGAAUACAAACAAGAUGCGAUCUGGGACUUAAUCAAGGAGUUUUCAAUACUCCUACGAUGUCUCAAGUUGCUGCUGUAUGGGUCGAAGACGAUGAAAAUGGAAAUGUUCGUACUCGAGAUAUUAUUAUUUACAGUCAUUCCAAUAAUUCACAUAAGGUUCAUUAUUGUUAUGGUUGUUAUGAUCCUUUACAAUAUCCAUUGCUUUUCCCAUAUGGAGAAUCUUGUUGGCAUGAAGGCAUUAAGAGAUGCAACAACAAAUAUUUACAGUCUCAACAUCUGUCUAACUUAGAUGGUUUUCCUAGCACAGUAACUUCCGCAUCUGAAAUUAUUGAAAAAGAUGAUGAAGAUUUAUGUAUAUUUUUUUCUUUAUAGUUCUACUUUCUACAAUGUAAAUUAAUAAAUGAAUAUAUAAUUUUGACAUUUUCCAUCAUGCAGUGCUUAAUGGAACGAAGAAACGAUUUCAGGUCUCUUGCCGGGAAUACUAUUCAUACAAAUUUCAGAUUAGGCCAUUUGGUAAGUCUUUAUUGCUUCACAGUGGUAAAUUAUUUCAACAGUUUGUUGUAAAUAUGUAUGUUAAGAUUGAAACUGCUAGAUUAGACUAUUUUCAUAAUAACCAAAAAUAAAUUCGUACUGAACUAUAUCAAGGUAUUGUAUAGAUAGUGUUAAAAAUGGAGAAAUGAGAGGAUACAAAAUUGGAAGAAAAAUUAUUUUACCACAAUCCUUUACAUGUGGGCCUAAAGACUUGCUAAAAAGAUACAUGGAUACGAUGUCUAUUGUGCAGCGUUAUGAAAAAUCAGACAUCUUUUUUACUAUGAUAUGUAAUUCAAAUUGGCUGAAGAUUAAGCAAGAACUAAAGCAUAAUGAUGAAGUUCAAAAUCGAUCAGAUCUAAUUGCAUGCAUAUUUCAAGCAAAAUUAGAAGAGUUAAAAAAUGAUUUAUACAAGAAAAAUAUCUUAGGCCUUGUUGUUGCACAUGUAUAUAUGAUUGAAUUUAAAAAAACGAGGUCUUCUUCAUGCGCAUCUAUUAUUGAUUUUCAAAUCUGGCCAUAAAAUUUGUUGUGCUAAACAGGUCGAUGCGAUAGAAUGUUCUGAAAUUUCUAAAAAAUAUAUAUACCCCCAUCUUCCUUCUAUUAUUGUUAAACAUGAUAUGCAUGGUCCUUGUGAAAAUCUUAAUCCUAAAAAUGUAUGCAUGGAGGUAAAUAAAGGUUGCAAAAACAAAUGCCCUAAAGAACAUUGUAACAUGACUACAUUUGGUGAUAACUCAUAUCCGUUGUAUAAGCGUAUAAGCAUAGCAAUAAUGGCAUCUCUGUUAAAGUUAGAGGUCAAAUGUUAGACAAUUACUAGAUUGUACCAUAUAAUCUUUAUUUAAGUACGGAAUUUGACUGUUACAUUAAUGUUGAAAUAUGCUCUUCUAUUAAGGCUGUAAAAUAUUUGUACAAAUAUGUAAACAAAGGACCUGAUCGUAUUAAUUUCACAAUUAACACAAAUGAAGCAGAGAAAGAAAUUGAUAAAAUUUCUGCUUAUCAUUUUGUGGAUAUCUUCACUUGAAGCUAUGCAGAGAAUUUUUUUUAUUUUGUCAGAAACUUGUCCUACUGUUUAUUCUUUAUAGUUUCAUAUUGAGAAUCACCAAGAAGUGACAUACAAUAGUUAUGAUAAUUUAUCUACCAUCAUUGAGAACAAAAAUACAAAGAGAACAAUGUUGACAGAAUUCUUUCGAAUGAAUCAAAAAAAUAAAUUUGCUCGAACAUUGUUGUAUCGAGAUUUUCCUACACAUUUUGUUUGGAAUACUAAUAAAAAAAAUUUAACUCCGGGAAGAAGCAAAUUGUUAUAGGACGAAUUAUCACAACAAAUCCUUUUGAAGGAGACGCUAUUUCCUCCGCAUUCUUCUUAAUCAAAUUCGAGGGCUAACAUCAUUUAUUGAUUUACAAACUUCAAAUGGGGUAACUAUUAUAGAGAGACUGCGCUUCUACAUGGUUUAUUAAGCGGGGAUAAUCAUUGUGAAGAAUGUUUAUCUGAAGCUAUUGUUUACGAAAUUCCAACUUCUUUAAGAUGCCUAUUUGCUACACUACUUACGCUUUGCAACCUUAAUCAUCCAAAAUUAUUGUGGGAUAAAUUUAACGCUUAUAUGAUAGAUGACUAUCUACAUGAAAAUAUACUUAUAGAAAUUGUAAAGUACAUGCUCUAUAGGAUAUUGGUGAUCUUCUAGAAUCAUUAGGUAAAAACAUAAAUGAUUAUGGAAUAGUUCCAUUCAGUGUAAAUAUGGGUGAGGAUCAAAAGUUGAGAAGAAUGGUUAUAGAGGAGACGACCAAUUUGGAUAUCAAAGGAGACUAUACUUGUGCAUCUAGUUUAAAUAAAGAACAAUAGUUUGCAUAUGAUUCGAUUAUGGAAAAAGUUAAAUCAGAAUCAAAUGGUGAUUUCUUUAUUAAUGGUCCAGACGUAACAGGUAAAACUUUUUUAUAUAAAGCAUUUCUUGCUGCUGUGAGGUCUCAAAAUUUGAUUGCUUUAACGACUACAUCUUCUGGAGUAUCUGUAUCUCUAUUACCUGGUGGUCGAGCAUCUCAUUCUAAAUUUAAAAUUCCUUUAGAUACAUAUGGUGAAGUAAGUUGCUCCGUUAGCAAGCAAUCAGCUUUGGGAACUUUACUCAGAAUGUGUAAGUUAAUAACAUGGGAUUAAGCACCCAUGGUAAAUUGUUCUUCUGUUGAAACUGUGGAUAAAAUGUUCAGAGAUAUUACCGAUUGCAAUUUGCCUUUUGGUGAGAAAGUGGUUGUUCUCUGAGGAGAUUUUCGACAAAUUUUACCAGUUGUGCCAAGAGGAAAAAAAGGAAGAUAUAAUGAAAGCUAGCUUAGUCUUCUCUAACCUUUGGCCUUUGUUUAUACAUCUACCAUUAAUUGAGAACAUGAGGGCUAAGCUAGAUCCCACAUUUUGUGAUUAUUUACUUAGAAUUGGAGAUGGAACAAAAAAAGAACAUACUUGAAACUACAUUAAGCUUCCAGAAAGUAUCACUCUACCAUUUGAGGACAAAAUUCAGUCUAUAAAAAUAUUGAUAAAUCAUGUGUUUCCCAAAUAUUGAAGCAUAUGCUGAUAAUUUACAUAUGAUGGGAAAUUGAGUUAUUCUUACACCUACAAAUGAAUGUGUCGAUCAUACUAACAGAAUUUUACUCGAACAAAUUUCAAGUCAAAUUUCACAUAUUUUAGCUUCAAUGAAACGAUUGAGAAAUCAAAAAGGAGCUUGUAGGAAGAUUUUUUUUUUUUUUGAAUAGUUUAACCACAAACAGUAUUCCACCUCAUGAAUUGAAUCUUAAAGUAAAUUGUCCUAUAAUGUUAUUGAGAAAUAUUAAUCCUUUUGAAGACUUAUGCAAUGGGACACACCUUACUUGUUGAAAAUUUGAGAAGAAUAUAAUUCUUGCUGAAAUCACAACUGGUGAAUAUUGUGAAAAAUAUGUUUUCUUAUUGAGGAUUCCUUUUAUACCUCUUAAGAUAGAUCAAAAUUCAAUUCCAUUUAAAAGAUUUUAAUUUCCAAUUAAAUUAUGCUUCGCAAUGACAAUAAACAAAUCACAGGGCCAAACAUUUGAUUUUGUUGAUUUGUAUCUUCUAGAACCUUUUUUUGCCAUGGUCAACUUUAUGCAGCAUUAUCAAGAACUAGAACAAGUACGAAUAUAAAAGUUUUGGUGAAACCAUCAACAACUGAAAACUUACACAGUACAUGUACUAAGAAUGUUGUCUACAAGAAAAUCCUUUCUUUCAUACAUCCAUAGAGCUACAACUUGGCUUCCUUGUCCGUUAUUGAAAAACUUUAUAAAUUUAUGCAAUCAAAGUCAUCGAUGAAGCUAUCAAAUUUGCAUGGAAUAACUUACAAACAAUUAGAAAAAAAGAUGAAAGUGUUAUCAGAGAAGCUCGUGAGGUCAGUGAAUUAUUGUUUUACAAAAUAGCUUUCUUUUAAUCUAAUGUUUUAUAUAUCAUUUUAUCUCACUUUUCCGCAGUACAUAAUUCUAAUGUUCACAUAUUUUUUUUACACAAGUAGUUCGAAAUCUUUUCACUUCAUAUCUUGUUCAAAAAGUAUAGUUCUCAAACAUACUAUAGUUCUUACGAGUUUACUCCUUAGAGAAGAAAUUCUUUUUCAAAUCUUAUAGUUAUUGACAUUUCGUAUAGUACGUAUAGUAACAAAAUAAUUGUUUAUACUUUAAUCCUUAAAUAUUCUUUUUCUUUUAUUAUUAUUAUUAUUAUUAUUAUUAUUAUUAUUAUUAUUAUUAUUAUUAUUAUUAUUAUUAUUUUGCAAGUUUAUUUUCCUAUUCAUAAUUAGCUUAUUCAUUUUCCAAAUUCUAAUUAUUCAUCUUCGCAAUUAGUUUUUGAAUUUAACAAACAAUAUUUCACUAGCACUUCAAUGGCAUCUCUGUUGAUGAAAUUUUUGCAUGUCGGAUGACACAUAUUCUUACUUGUGUUCAUUUCCAGAAAGCAGAUCUUAUUCAAAUGUGUUUCACAAUUUUUUUAUCAAACCUUUUAAAUAAUUAUAAUAUUAUUCUCUCAUGCCUUCAAUUCUGUCAAACCAUUCUAAUUUCAUUCAUCAUAAUACUAUGACUCGAAAUUCUAAAUGUCUUUUCUUUCAUGAUUUAUAGUUUUUUCAAGCGUAAUUCUUCAACGAUCAAUGGUCAAUUCAUCACCUGGAGAAAGAGAGUUGAAGAUAGUUGGUCGAACAUUGAUAUGAAUAGUUUCAAGGUACAAUCUACCAUAUUAAGUAAUAUCAAAAGAAUAUGAUGCGAAUUUCCGCCUCCACCAAACAAAAGAAUAUUAUAAAUAUUCCUUCAAGUUUUAUUACUAAUUCCAUUUCUUUUACUUUAUUAUCCCUGUAAACUAGCGUACACACAUUUUACUCUUCUUUUACCUCUUUUUUCCUGUUUCUUAAUAGUCUUUUCUCGUCUCUUUUUCCUUCUAGUGAAAAGAUUUUAAAAAUCCUUUAAUCCAACUGAGAUUUAACUUACCAUAUUUGACCAAUUCAUUUCCAAUUUAUUUUUAUCAUAGAUGGCCCCGAUUAUUGCAAAUAUGGGUGGAACAAGUAUUCCUCUCCGUCUGGACAAUCAUCCACAUUUUCAGUGAGCUUCUAUUUGUUGUUAGUAAUAUUAUAAUCUCUGAAGUAAUUAUAAAUUUAUGAGUUGUUUUGCCCUUUGAUCAAUACUAAAAUCUUCAAUUUUUAAUUCAUUUUUAAGUCCUUUCAAAAUACAGGAAUUUGUAAAAUUUGUCUCUGAUGACUUCUAUAAUUGGACAUUUCUUUUUAACAAUAUGCAUCAAUUUUAUCUAAGAGGCAAUCCUGAAUUGGGGAUAAAGUUUUGAAAAUGUUGUUGAGAAAGUUUGAUUUCCAAUCAUGUGAAAUAAUUUUUUUAAUUUACUCAGGUAAGACCUCCAAGUAUUCUCAUGUGAUGUAGUGGAUAGGAGAUGUAGUUUUGUUAGAGAUCUUUGUCUUCCUUAGUUCCUUGUGAG
RNAcentral lists this long non-coding RNA (9174 nucleotides) under Olea europaea (common olive). RNAcentral's name for it is "long non-coding RNA (OEUR_LNC014792)". The record is from RNAcentral. Lineage: Eukaryota; Viridiplantae; Streptophyta; Magnoliopsida; Lamiales; Oleaceae.